UAAUAGGAAAAUGGGUUUGUUAAUCUUAUCCUAUGUUCUAUCACAAAGUAGGAGUAGGAGGUGGCACGAUGAAGCCCCUCUAGCCUCUAGGGUAGCCUCAAGAGAAAGAAGAGAGAUGUAAAAGCAAAAUAAGAUUGUAGAGUUUUGGAUUGUGGGAGAGAGAGAAAGAGAACAUGAGCGAGAAAGAGGAAAAAUCACAGAAAAUUAUGGGAGAGGGAGAGACUCAUGAG
Molecule: long non-coding RNA, 230 nt
Filed under: Elaeis guineensis (African oil palm)
Lineage: Eukaryota; Viridiplantae; Streptophyta; Magnoliopsida; Arecales; Arecaceae
Description: long non-coding RNA (EGUI_LNC018400)
Source: RNAcentral